This 253-nucleotide ribosomal RNA is filed under the name uncultured bacterium. Its description in RNAcentral is "partial 16S ribosomal RNA". It matches the Rfam family "Bacterial small subunit ribosomal RNA", at positions 524 to 776 of the family's 1533-position model. The record is from RNAcentral.
UACAGAGGGGGCAAGCGUUGUUCGGAAUUACUGGGCGUAAAGGGCGCGUAGGCGGCCUUCUAAGUCAGACGUGAAAUCCCCGGGCUCAACCCGGGAACUGCGUCUGAGACUGGAAGGCUCGAAUCCGGGAGAGGGAUGCGGAAUUCCAGGUGUAGCGGUGAAAUGCGUAGAUAUCUGGAGGAACACCGGUGGCGAAGGCGGCAUCCUGGACCGGCAUUGACGCUGAGGCGCGAAAGCUAGGGGAGCAAACAGG